AUGCAGACUGGAAGCCUGAGGGCAGGAACACCUUGGAAAUAGCACCUCAGCAAGAAUGCUAACUCGUACGCACUCUCCCACUCACCAGCUGUGUAAUCCAUUGCAAAGGAUGGAUAAUGUAUUAAUAGAUAGUUAGUGAUUCAGAAACAGAUCCCAGCAGAGAAUGCAAAGCUUUGUGUAUAGGUAAAUGUUCUUGCCAAAACCACAGGGGAUCCUUCCACUACCACUGAGGUAAACUCUUUGGCUUCAAUGUUGUGUGUGAUUCUUUUCAGAGAGAAUGGUUAAGUAUUGGAACAAGCUGCCCAGGGAAGUGGUGGAAUCGCUGUCCUUGGAAGUGCUCAAGAAAUGUGGAGAUGUAGUACUGAGGGAUGUGGGUAAAUGGGUGGGGUGGGGUUGGGCUGACAGUUGGACUAGAUUAUUUUAGUGGCCUUUUCCAAACAUAAUGAUUCCAUAUGCUUUCAGGUCUUUGGCCUCUGCCUGUUAAAGGAAAAAAUAGGGAUGUGGGAAUGGGAUCAUUUAAAAGCUCAAGGAUUCAAAAUGGAGAGCACUGAUAUGAAAAGGCAUAAUAUUCUACAGAGUAAUAAAAGAAGAAAUAAUCUGAUUGUCAGGUCAAGCCAUUAAUGUCAUCUGCAUUGGUGGAGCCAAUGAAGGUGACAAUUCCAGCUGCGGUGAGGAUCAGUUGCAGGGAAUCUUGGGAACUGCCCCUUCCCCUCCUACCUACCUUGCAAAGGCUCUGGGUGCUUGUCAGGCAGGGAUGAUGCCUGCACUAUGGCUUUGCAUAAUGGCUUGAUGAAAACUUUUGUGUGAUCUGACCAAUAAAUAAUUGUUCUAUACUUUUAGGAUGCAUGUGACCUGUCUGAACUUACGCCUUACUAAAUAUACCUGAAGAAGCUGACCCUGGAGGUGAUCUGUUACACCUUCAGUAGUCUCCUCCAUCAAAUUAACCUUUUACUCAGCAGGGCUAAAGAAGCUAGAGCACUGAGAAUGUCUAAUUACUUUCUUCAGAUCACUGUGACUGUAAAUCAUGCUGCUCAGUCUCGCUGUCUACAAAGAACAGCUCUGCAUCCCUGCCUGCUCGCUGCUCAGCUCACUUCCCUAAGGCUGCACAAGCAGUUUGAUCAUCUGGCUGAAAAACAAAUAUUGAGUUAUUACUGCAUUUUUUUUAAAUGUGGGGUAGAUUUUCAGCUUUUGUAAAUCACUACAUACCAGCCAAAUUUUC
Molecule: long non-coding RNA, 1219 nt
Filed under: Phasianus colchicus (ring-necked pheasant)
Lineage: Eukaryota; Metazoa; Chordata; Aves; Galliformes; Phasianidae
Description: lncRNA (ENSPCLG00000002193.1)
Source: RNAcentral